UACGAAGGGGGCUAGCGUUGCUCGGAAUCACUGGGCGUAAAGGGUGCGUAGGCGGGUCUUUAAGUCAGGGGUGAAAUCCUGGAGCUCAACUCCAGAACUGCCUUUGAUACUGAGGAUCUUGAGUUCGGGAGAGGUGAGUGGAACUGCGAGUGUAGAGGUGAAAUUCGUAGAUAUUCGCAAGGACACCAGUGGCGAAGGCGGCUCACUGGCCCGGUACUGACGCUGAGGUGCGAAAGCGUGGGGAGCAAACAGG
This 253-nucleotide ribosomal RNA is filed under the name uncultured bacterium. Its description in RNAcentral is "partial 16S ribosomal RNA". It matches the Rfam family "Bacterial small subunit ribosomal RNA", at positions 524 to 776 of the family's 1533-position model. The record is from RNAcentral.